RNAcentral lists this ribosomal RNA (1659 nucleotides) under human gut metagenome. RNAcentral describes it as "bacterial LSU rRNA". It matches the Rfam family "Bacterial large subunit ribosomal RNA", at positions 925 to 2565 of the family's 2925-position model. The record is from RNAcentral.
GGCCAUCCCGGCUUACCAACCCGAUGCAAACUACGAAUACCGAAGAAUGUUAUCACGGGAGACACACGGCGGGUGCUAACGUCCGUCGUGAAGAGGGAAACAACCCAGACCGCCAGCUAAGGUCCCAAAGUCAUGGUUAAGUGGGAAACGAUGUGGGAAGGCACAGACAGCCAGGAUGUUGGCUUAGAAGCAGCCAUCAUUUAAAGAAAGCGUAAUAGCUCACUGGUCGAGUCGGCCUGCGCGGAAGAUGUAACGGGGCUAAACCAUGCACCGAAGCUGCGGCAGCGACACUAUGUGUUGUUGGGUAGGGGAGCGUUCUGUAAGCCUGUGAAGGUGGCCUGUGAGGGUUGCUGGAGGUAUCAGAAGUGCGAAUGCUGACAUAAGUAACGAUAAAGCGGGUGAAAAGCCCGCUCGCCGGAAGACCAAGGGUUCCUGUCCAACGUUAAUCGGGGCAGGGUGAGUCGACCCCUAAGGCGAGGCCGAAAGGCGUAGUCGAUGGGAAACAGGUUAAUAUUCCUGUACUUGGUGUUACUGCGAAGGGGGGACGGAGAAGGCUAUGUCAGCCGGGCGACGGUUGUCCCGGUUUAAGCGUGUAGGCUGGUUUUCCAGGCAAAUCCGGAAAACCAAGGCUGAGGCGUGAUGACGAGGCACUACGGUGCUGAAGCGACAAAUGCCCUGCUUCCAGGAAAAGCCUCUAAGCAUCAGGUAACAUCAAAUCGUACCCCAAACCGACACAGGUGGUCAGGUAGAGAAUACCAAGGCGCUUGAGAGAACUCGGGUGAAGGAACUAGGCAAAAUGGUGCCGUAACUUCGGGAGAAGGCACGCUGAUAGGUAGGUGAAGUCCCUGCGGACGGAGCUGAAAUCAGUCGAAGAUACCAGCUGGCUGCAACUGUUUAUUAAAAACACAGCACUGUGCAAACACGAAAGUGGACGUAUACGGUGUGACGCCUGCCCGGUGCCGGAAGGUUAAUUGAUGGGGUUAGCGGCAACGCGAAGCUCUUGAUCGAAGCCCCGGUAAACGGCGGCCGUAACUAUAACGGUCCUAAGGUAGCGAAAUUCCUUGUCGGGUAAGUUCCGACCCGCACGAAAGGUGUAACGAUUUGGGCACUGUCUCAACAAAGGAUCCGGUGAAAUUGUAGUAGUCGUGAAGAUGCGACUUACCCACGCUAGGACGGAAAGACCCCGUGGAGCUUUACUGUAGGCUGAUAUUGGAUUUUGAGAUUAAAUGUACAGGAUAGUUGGGAGACUGAGAUAUCUGGAUGCCAAUCUAGGAGGAGUCACUGGUGGGAUACCAACCUUUUAAUAUCAAAGUUCUAACCAUAGCCCUUGAAUCAGGGCAUGGGACAUUGUCAGUUGGGCAGUUUGACUGGGGCGGUCGCCUCCUAAAAAGUAACGGAGGCGUUCAAAGGUUCGCUCAGAAUGGUUGGAAAUCAUUCAAAGAGUACAAAGGCAAAAGCGAGCUUAACUGCGAGACAUACAGGUCGAGCAGAGACGAAAGUCGGACUUAGUGAUCCGGUGGUACCGAGUGGAAGGGCCAUCGCUCAACGGAUAAAAGCUACCCUGGGGAUAACAGGCUAAUCUCUCCCAAGAGUCCAUAUCGACGGGAUGGUUUGGCACCUCGAUGUCGGCUCAUCACAUCCUGGGGCUGAAGUAGGUCC